Molecule: ribosomal RNA, 427 nt
Filed under: uncultured bacterium
Lineage: Bacteria
Description: partial 16S ribosomal RNA
Rfam family: Bacterial small subunit ribosomal RNA
Source: RNAcentral
UGGGGAAUAUUGCACAAUGGGCGCAAGCCUGAUGCAGCCAUGCCGCGUGUAUGAAGAAGGCCUUCGGGUUGUAAAGUACUUUCAGCGGGGAGGAAGGCGAUAAGGUUAAUAACCUUGUCGAUUGACGUUACCCGCAGAAGAAGCACCGGCUAACUCCGUGCCAGCAGACGCGGUCAUACGGAGGGUGCAAGCGUUAAUCGGAAUUACUGGGCGUAAAGCGCACGCAGGCGGUCUGUCAAGUCGGAUGUGAAAUCCCCGGGCUCAACCUGGGAACUGCAUUCGAAACUGGCAGGCUAGAGUCUUGUAGAGGGGGGUAGAAUUCCAGGUGUAGCGGUGAAAUGCGUAGAGAUCUGGAGGAAUACCGGUGGCGAAGGCGGCCCCCUGGACAAAGACUGACGCUCAGGUGCGAAAGCGUGGGGAGCAAACA